GCUGACUGUCUUUUCGGACUCAGCCCACCUGCACCCAGGUGAAAUAAACAGCUUUAUUGCUCACACAAAGCCUGUUUGGUGGUCUCUUCACAUGGAUGGGUAUGAAAUUUGGUGCCGUGACUCGGAUCGGGGGACCUCCCUUGGGAGAUCAAUCCCCCGUCCUCCUGCUCUUUGCUCCGUGAGAAAGAUCCACCUACGACCUCAGGUCCUCAGACGGACCAGACCAAGAAACAUCUCACCAAUUUCAAAUCUGAUGAACAGGAAAGAGUUUUUUCUCUAGCCCAAUCUCAUGCUGAUAACCACCGGCUUCAUGAGCCAGACCUCCAGGAAGGCAUUAGAGCAGUUCCCUGAGAGGAUCCCCAAUGGAACCACCAGGCAAAUUUCCCAGGGACCCACUGGAAAUCAGACUGCCCAGCUCGCCCGGGAGCCACUCCUAGAGCCCCUAAAGCUCUAGCCCAAGGCUCUCUGACUGACUCCUUCCCAGAUCUGCUUGGCUUAGUGACUGAAGAUUGACGCUGCCCGAUCGCCUCGGAAGCCCCCUGGACCAUCACAGAUGCCGAGCUUUGGGUAACUCUCACAGUGGAGGAUCCCCAGCCAUAUGAAGACACCCUAGCUGUACGAUCAGUUCUUGUUAAGAAUCUGACCCCUCAAACUCUACAACCUCGAUGAGCCGGAUCCUACUUAGUCAUCUAUAGUACCCCGACUGCCGUCCGCCUGCAGGAUCCUCCCCACUUGGUUCACCGUUCCAGAAUAAAGCUGUGUCCAUCGGA
This is a long non-coding RNA of Homo sapiens (human), 770 nucleotides long. RefSeq lists it as uncharacterized. Lineage: Eukaryota; Metazoa; Chordata; Mammalia; Primates; Hominidae. The transcript is spliced from 2 exons. The record is from RefSeq and is a predicted model, not a curated record.